RNAcentral lists this ribosomal RNA (374 nucleotides) under uncultured bacterium. Its description in RNAcentral is "bacterial SSU rRNA". It matches the Rfam family "Bacterial small subunit ribosomal RNA", at positions 335 to 700 of the family's 1533-position model. The record is from RNAcentral.
ACUCCUACGGGAGGCAGCAGUAGGGAAUCUUCCACAAUGGGCGCAAGCCUGAUGGAGCAACACCGCGUGAGUGAAGAAGGGUUUCGGCUCGUAAAGCUCUGUUGUUAAAGAAGAACACGUAUGAGAGUAACUGUUCAUACGUUGACGGUAUUUAACCAGAAAGUCACGGCUAACUACGUGCCAGCAGCCGCGGUAAUACGUAGGUGGCAAGCGUUAUCCGGUAUUUAUUGGGCGUAAAGAGAGUGCAGGUCGGUUUUCUAAGUCUGAUGUGAAAGCCUUCGGCUUAACCGGAGAAGUGCAUCGGAAACUGGAUAACUUGAGUGCAGAAGAGGUAGUGGAACUCCAUGUGUAGCGGUGGAAUGCGUAGAUAUAGU